This 113-nucleotide ribosomal RNA is filed under the name Klebsiella pneumoniae. Lineage: Bacteria; Pseudomonadati; Pseudomonadota; Gammaproteobacteria; Enterobacterales; Enterobacteriaceae. The record is from RNAcentral.
GCGGCACUAGCGCGGUGGUCCCACCUGACCCCAUGCCGAACUCAGAAGUGAAACGCCGUAGCGCCGAUGGUAGUGUGGGGUCUCCCCAUGUGAGAGUAGGGAACUGCCAGGCA